UGAAAAACUAACGGUAAAUAAUAAGGAGUGCAUCGUAAUUCAUAUAAAGUUGAUAUAAAGUAUCUAAAGGCUUCUAUAGUAGCUGACAGGAAACAAGAUGGACAGGUGGAGGUGUGGACGGAGCAGCUGAUGUCCUCCGGCGCUGGAGAGUAAAAGUCUUGUGGAGGGAAAGUAGCAGCCGUCCUCUGAGGGACGACUGAAGGCUGUUGGAGACAAGGUGUCCAGGACUUUCAGGAUCUUGUCAGGACUGGGGAUUCUGGAGUCUCUACCUGUCAACAGAGCCUCUGAGGGACGACUGAAGGGCUGUUGGAGACAAGGUGUCCAGGAGCUUCAGGAUCUUGUCAGGACUGGGGAUUUGGGGACAUAGAGUCUCCACCUGUCAACAGAGGUGCCAGCCAUCAUCAGCCUGCAGGAAAUAGGAUAUGAUAGGCGCAUGGCCUAAUAUUGGGUGGUUUUCCCACAGUGGGAGCUGUUUGGGGAGAAUGUCCAGACGGUUCCUAAUGACCCGUGUCUGCCACCAGCUCUGCCUCGGGGAGCUGAAGAAUGGUUUGGUCACAUGGUCCAUCAGGGAGAAAACAGAGGAAGUUGGGGAAAGAAUAGAAGUGAAAAGAAGUGUGGAGUUGCCCUCCCCUGCAGCAACGUGUAUCCUGCAUUUUCACACCAUGACGAAAAAAAUGUGCCAAGUCCGUCCACUAGAGCGUGUCUGUCUGACUGCACAACAUCGGCUCGUCAUUUCCCUCCGACUGGAGAAGGAGAAGGGAGAAGACAAGAGGAAAGAGAGAGAGAGAGGGAGAGAGAGAGAGGAGGAGAACGUCUCGUAUUGUGAACUCGACUGCUGAUGUGACCAAAUCCCUCCAAACAGGGUGACAAUGUGCUUAAUGUUGAGCUGAAGCUGAAGGAACAAAACCAGAUCUACAUGAGAGAAGCUGCAGCUCUGGAGUGAAUUAAACGACAAAGAUGAGUGGAUGUGACAUGCACUGUAAAAAAUGUCUCUAGAUUUUAGGGUGAAAAGCUGCUAAAACAUGACAGUAAAAGACGUAAAAUGAUAAAUGGUCUUUAUGUUAUUUUGCGUCUUCUUUGGCCAAUUUGUGUCUAUUUCAAUAGUUUUGUGUCAUUUUUACAUCUAUUUUUUGUCAUUUUGACGUCUAUUCUUGGUCAUUUUAUGUCUGUUGUAGUCAUUUUUACAUCUAUUUUUUUCAUUUUGUGUUUUCUUUGGUCAUUUUUUGUCUUUUUGGUCAUUUUUACAUCUAUUUUUUGUCAUUUUGUGUCUUUUUUAGUCAUUUUUACAUCUUUUUUUUUUCAUUUUGCGUCUUUGGUCAAUUCGUGUCUAUUUUGAAAAAUUUUUAGCUUUUUUGUCACUUUGUGUCUUUUUUUAGUCAUUUUUACAUCUAUUUUUGUCAUUUUGUGUUUUGUUUUUUGUCAUUUUUACAUCUACAGUCAUGGAAACAUUCUUUUAGGUUUUAGGGUGAAAAACUGCUAAACCAUGACAGUAAAAGACGUAUAAUGAUAAAUGAGUUAAUUUAGUUUCAGUAACAAUGAAACUGUAAGUGUAUAUAUCAGCCAAAACUGGAUUUUUUACAGUUUUGUUUUUUUAAAAAUACAUUGAUACAUCAUUACAUCGUUUUUUCCUGUAAUUUUUUGGUCAUUUUUACAUCUAUUUCUUGUCAUGUUGCAUCUUUUUUGGUCAAUUUGUGUCUAUUUUGAUAAUUUUGUGUCAUUUUUACAUC
Long non-coding RNA from Centropristis striata (black sea bass), 1727 nucleotides. RefSeq lists it as uncharacterized. The transcript is spliced from 5 exons. The record is from RefSeq and is a predicted model, not a curated record. NCBI's taxonomy places the organism in Eukaryota, Metazoa, Chordata, Actinopteri, Perciformes, Serranidae.